UGUAUAGCACUUUUAUUCAAUUUGUCUCAGAAUUGUAUAUCAAAGAACUCACUAUUUCAAAAUUCAGGGCUGCGUUUGCUCAAUUAAGAUGUUUUUCACACCGGCUUCAGAUUGAAACUGGCAGAUAUGCUAAUGAAACUAAAGUUGAUAGAUUAUGUCUUGUAUGCAAAGAACGAUAUAUUGAAGAUGAAUACCAUUUUUUAUUAAUAUGUAAUGUAUACAAAGAUCUAAGGUCUUUACUUUUGCCAAA
RNAcentral lists this long non-coding RNA (250 nucleotides) under Haliotis rubra (blacklip abalone). RNAcentral describes it as "uncharacterized LOC124255681". The record is from RNAcentral. Lineage: Eukaryota; Metazoa; Mollusca; Gastropoda; Lepetellida; Haliotidae.